Molecule: ribosomal RNA, 629 nt
Filed under: Pseudomicrostroma phylloplanum
Lineage: Eukaryota; Fungi; Basidiomycota; Exobasidiomycetes; Microstromatales
Description: partial large subunit ribosomal RNA
Rfam family: Eukaryotic large subunit ribosomal RNA
Source: RNAcentral
CGGAGGAAAAGAAACUAACAAGGAUUCCCCUAGUAACGGCGAGUGAAGCGGGAAGAGCUCAAAUUUGAAAGCUGGCACCUUCGGUGUCCGCGUUGUAAUCUCGAGAAGUGUUUUCCGUGCUGGACCAUGUACAAGUUCCUUGGAAUAGGACGUCAUAGAGGGUGAAAAUCCCGUACUUGACAUGGACGCCCAGUGCUUUGUGAUACACUCUCCACGAGUCGAGUUGUUUGGGAAUGCAGCUCAAAAUGGGUGGUAAAUUCCAUCUAAAGCUAAAUAUUGGGGAGAGACCGAUAGCGAACAAGUACCGUGAGGGAAAGAUGAAAAGCACUUUGGAAAGAGAGUUAAACAGUACGUGAAAUUGUCGAAAGGGAAGCGCUUGAAGUUAGACAUGCUUGCCGGGAUUCAGCCUUGCUUUUGCUUGGUGCAUUUCCCGGUGUGCAGGCCAGCAUCAGUUUUGUUUGCCGGAUAAGGGUGAGAGGAAUGUGGCCCCUCGGGGUGUUAUAGCCUCUCACUGGAUACGGCGGAUGGGACUGAGGACCGCAGUGUGCCUUUAUGGCGGGCCUUCGGGCACCUUCACACUUAGGAUGCUGGCGUAAUGGCUUUAAGCGACCCGUCUUGAAACACGGACC